RNAcentral lists this ribosomal RNA (509 nucleotides) under Renocera johnsoni. Its description in RNAcentral is "partial 16S ribosomal RNA". It matches the Rfam family "Bacterial large subunit ribosomal RNA", at positions 1830 to 2597 of the family's 2925-position model. The record is from RNAcentral. Lineage: Eukaryota; Metazoa; Arthropoda; Insecta; Diptera; Sciomyzidae.
UCUUUCUGAAAUUUUUAGAAAGUCUAACCUGCCCACUGAUGAUUUUAACGGCCGCAGUAUUCUAACUGUGCAAAGGUAGCAUAAUAAUUAGUCUUUUAAUUGAAGGCUGGAAUGAAUGGUUGGACGAAAUAUAAACUGUUUCAUUUAAAUUUAUUGUAGAAUUUUAUUUUUUAGUGAAAAAGCUAAAAUUUUUUUAAAAGACGGGAAGACCCUAUAAAGCUUUAUAUAAUUUAUUUUUAAAUAGUUUUAGAUAUUUUAUUGGUUGAAUAUAAAUUAUAUUUUAUUGGGGUGAUAUUAAAAUUUAAAAAACUUUUAAUUUUUAUAAACAUUUAUUUAUGAAUAAUUGAUCCGUUCCUAACGAUUAUAAAUUUAAGUUACUUUAGGGAUAACAGCGUAAUUUUUUUGGAGAGUUCAUAUCGAUAAAAAAGAUUGCGACCUCGAUGUUGGAUUAAGGAAUAACUUUAGGCGCAGCCGAUUAAAUAUUAAGUCUGUUCGACUUUUAAAUCCUU